GUGCUCAUUUUGGUAGCUCACAUGCUAAAACUGUAACAAUACUGAGAUUAGCCUAACCCCUGCCCAAAGAUGACAUGCAAACUCAUGAAGCAUUCCCUAUUUUU
Molecule: small nuclear RNA, 104 nt
Organism: Sorex fumeus (smoky shrew)
Lineage: Eukaryota; Metazoa; Chordata; Mammalia; Eulipotyphla; Soricidae
Source: RefSeq, a predicted model, not a curated record